This is a long non-coding RNA of Eriocheir sinensis (Chinese mitten crab), 953 nucleotides long. RefSeq lists it as uncharacterized. The transcript is spliced from 4 exons. Lineage: Eukaryota; Metazoa; Arthropoda; Malacostraca; Decapoda; Varunidae. The record is from RefSeq and is a predicted model, not a curated record.
CAACUGUCCAACGUCGCGGCAGGAGACGGGCGCGGGAGGAAGAAAUCUCUCCUCCACUCGUCUUCCAGCGCUCCUCCACUCUCCGCGGCCGCCUCCUCCACCCACGCCAACCUGUCCUCCACCGCCAUGACCCGCCUCAAAGUCCACGUCGUCUACUGCGGCGCCUGAGGGUACGGUCCGAAGUUCGAGCAGCUUCGGGACCAGUUGGAGGCCGAGUUUCCGAAGCAGCUCGAUAUCACCAGCUAUGGCACGCCCACGGCCACCGGGUACCUGGAGGUCACCGUGGGGAACAAGCUGGUUCACUCCAAGGACAAGGGCGACGGCUACAUCGACACGGAGAAGAAGUACAUCCGGAUUGCUGAUGCCGUGUGCGAUGCCCUCGAGGAGUUGGAGGCACAAGAGAAGGUGAUCAAGGCCUCCGAUGACCCCAAAUGAUGACCCCUGACCUCUGAUGACCUCCCGGCAAUGACCUAUGACCCCCGCCCCGCCUCGACCUGCCCCGACGAGCCCCCAGCACAGUGGUACCUCAGCCCCAAAGCCCUGAAGGGUCGGGCUGGGGUGGAAGGCGCUUGGGGCUUGGUUGAGUCUCCUAAUGGGGCAGGUGGGGUGGGGAAGGGGUGGGGGUUGAUGGGGGGAAAGGGUGAAGAAGAUGAAGAAGAAGAAGAAAGGGAUGGAGAGAAUGAGGAAGAAGGUAGAGAUGGAAGGUUAAGAUUGGGGUGUGAGGUGAAGGAAGGAAGGAAGGAAGGGAGGGGAGGAGAAGGAGAAAAAGAAGAUGAUGAUGAUAAAGGGGAGAGAGAGAGAGAAUGAGGGGUUACGAUAAGUUAUUCUCUCUCUCUCUCUCUCUCUCUCUCUCUCUCUCUCUCUAUUCAGUUCUAAAUCUGCUUCAUCAUUUCUCAUUCAUCAUUUUAUCCUUUCUUUCUUUCUUUCUUUCUUUUUCUUCCUUCUCUCUAUAU